GGGUCCGGAGGUAGCGUUUCACUAUUUCCGGAGGACAGAGGAUGGUCGGGCCGCCAUCC
Molecule: non-coding RNA, 59 nt
Filed under: unclassified sequences
Description: Li+-I sequence
Rfam family: nhaA-I RNA
About the family: Acidobacteria, Alphaproteobacteria, Betaproteobacteria and Gammaproteobacteria, Verrucomicrobia, cand. division NC10. Downstream gene
Source: Rfam by way of RNAcentral